Molecule: ribosomal RNA, 253 nt
Filed under: uncultured bacterium
Lineage: Bacteria
Description: partial 16S ribosomal RNA
Rfam family: Bacterial small subunit ribosomal RNA
Source: RNAcentral
UACGGGGGGGGCAAGCGUUGUUCGGAAUUACUGGGCGUAAAGGGCGCGUAGGCGGCCUUCUAAGUCGAACGUGAAAUCCCUGGGCUCAACCCAGGAACUGCGUCCGAUACUGGGAGGCUUGAAUCCGGGAGAGGGAUGCGGAAUUCCAGGUGUAGCGGUGAAAUGCGUAGAUAUCGAGAGGAACACCUGCGGCGAAGGCGAGUUGCUGGGCUGACACUGACGCUGAUGCGCGAAAGCCAGGGGAGCGAACGGG